AACGAACGCUGGCGGCAUGCCUAACACAUGCAAGUCGAACGAGACCUUCGGGUCUGUGGCGCACGGGUGCGUAACGCGUGGGAACCUGCCCUUAGGUUCGGAAUAACUCCCCGAAAGGGGUGCUAAUACCGGAUAAUGUCUUCGGACCAAAGAUUUAUCGCCUUUGGAUGGGCCCGCGUUGGAUUAGCUAGUUGGUAGGGUAAAAGCCUACCAAGGCGACGAUCCAUAGCUGGUCUGAGAGGAUGAUCAGCCACACUGGGACUGAGACACGGCCCAGACUCCUACGGGAGGCAGCAGUGGGGAAUAUUGGACAAUGGGCGAAAGCCUGAUCCAGCAAUGCCGCGUGAGUGAUGAAGGCCUUAGGGUUGUAAAGCUCUUUUACCCGGGAUGAUAAUGACAGUACCGGGAGAAUAAGCUCCGGCUAACUCCGUG
RNAcentral lists this ribosomal RNA (432 nucleotides) under uncultured bacterium. RNAcentral's name for it is "partial 16S ribosomal RNA". It matches the Rfam family "Bacterial small subunit ribosomal RNA", at positions 29 to 507 of the family's 1533-position model. The record is from RNAcentral.